UUCAUUUUUAAUGAGCCAAAAAGAAUUCACGUAACAGCCUCUGUUUAUCAAUCUGCGUUUUAGCGAAUUAUUGCGUGCUUUUAUUACUGUUAGAGUUAUAUGUCUCUGAAAAAUGACUUCAAGAAAGUUUUUUGUUGGUGUGGAGGCGGCUUUGGAGGAGUUUGAUCGGAUGUCCGACACUGAAACUUGCAGCGAUGCUAGCUAGCUUUGACUCGGUCAGAGAAGCUGCUUACAAACUGGGAGAAGACCCUUAUUUUGAUUGUAGCAUCCAGUGGUGAAGAAUGGGAGCCAGCAAGUCAGGAUACUUAUUUUGUGUGUGUGUGUGUGUGUGUGUGUGUGUGUGUGUGUGUGUGUGUGUGU
This is a long non-coding RNA of Carassius gibelio (silver crucian carp), 360 nucleotides long. RefSeq lists it as uncharacterized. The record is from RefSeq and is a predicted model, not a curated record. The transcript is spliced from 2 exons. NCBI's taxonomy places the organism in Eukaryota, Metazoa, Chordata, Actinopteri, Cypriniformes, Cyprinidae.